AUGGUAAUGGGGGUCGCCUCCCUCCUCCCUCCCCUCGACGCCCUCCAUGGCAGCUGGAGGUGGGCAAGUCCGGCAAGGCAGUGUGCACCGAAUGCCAUGGGCGCAAGUCGGAAGCUGCAGGGCGAGAUCGACCGCGUGCUCAAGAAGGUCCAGGAGGGCGUCGACGUCUUCGACAGCAUCUGGAACAAGGUCUACGACACCGCGAAUGCGAACCAGAAGGAAAAGUUCGAAGCGGACCUCAAGAAGGAUAUCAAGAAGCUGCAGCACUACCGCGACCAGAUCAAGACCUGGAUCCAGUCCAGCGAGAUCAAGGACAAGAAGAUGGAGCAGGAGCCCUCCAUGGACGACAUCGACGAGGAGGAAAUCGACUCCCCAAACAAGAAGAAGUGGAGCAAGGGCAAGCAAAAGGAGAAGGUGAACAACACGGUGAUCUUCGACCAGGCCACCUACGACAAGCUGCUCACCAAGGUGCCCAAGUACAAGAAGAUCACGCCCUCCGUCCUGUCCGAGCGACUCAGGAUCAACGGGUCGCUGGCUCUCAGGGCCAUCAAGGACCUAAUGGAGAGGGGACUCAUCAGGAUGGUGUCAAUCUAG
RNAcentral lists this ribosomal RNA (594 nucleotides) under Triticum aestivum (bread wheat). Its description in RNAcentral is "partial small subunit ribosomal RNA". Lineage: Eukaryota; Viridiplantae; Streptophyta; Magnoliopsida; Poales; Poaceae. The record is from RNAcentral.